ACUCCUACGGGAGGCAGCAGUGGGGAAUAUUGCACAAUGGGGGAAACCCUGAUGCAGCCAUGCCGCGUGUGUGAAGAAGGCCUUCGGGUUGUAAAGCACUUUCAGUAGGGAGGAAGGUAGUGUAGUUAACACCUGCAUUAUUUGACGUUACCUACAGAAGAAGCACCGGCUAACUCCGUGCCAGCAGCCGCGGUAAUACGGAGGGUGCGAGCGUUAAUCGGAAUUACUGGGCGUAAAGCGCAUGCAGGCGGCCUGUUAAGUCAGAUGUGAAAGCCCGGGGCUUAACCUCGGAAUUGCAUUUGAAACUGGCAGGCUAGAGUCUUGUAGAGGGGGGUAGAAUUUCAGGUGUAGCGGUGAAAUGCGUAGAGAUCUGAAGGAAUACCGGUGGCGAAGGCGGCCCCCUGGACAGAUACUGACACUCAGAUGCG
Molecule: ribosomal RNA, 428 nt
Filed under: uncultured bacterium
Lineage: Bacteria
Description: bacterial SSU rRNA
Rfam family: Bacterial small subunit ribosomal RNA
Source: RNAcentral